GACGAACCGUGCGAACGUUGUUCGGAAUCACUGGGCUUAAAGGGCGCGUAGGCGGGCGUGUCAGUCCGGGGUGAAAGCCCUCGGCCCAACCGGGGAAGGGCCUCGGAGACGGCACGCCUGGAGGGAGGCAGGGGCACGCGGAACUUCCGGUGGAGCGGUGAAAUGCGUUGAGAUCGGAAGGAACGCCGGUGGCGAAAGCGGCGUGCUGGACCUCUUCUGACGCUGAUGCGCGAAAGCCAGGGGAGCGAACGGG
Molecule: ribosomal RNA, 253 nt
Filed under: uncultured Isosphaera sp.
Lineage: Bacteria; Pseudomonadati; Planctomycetota; Planctomycetia; Isosphaerales; Isosphaeraceae
Description: partial 16S ribosomal RNA
Rfam family: Bacterial small subunit ribosomal RNA
Source: RNAcentral